UGAGAAUGUCAAGAUCUAGCCUGGGAUUGGGAGUGUGGCUCGGAGGGGAGUGCUCACCGAGCCUGCACACCGCCUAGGGCCCAGCCCUUAAAAGACACAAGCAAGAGGACAGUGGGAAGUAAGUUGAAAGCCAGCCUGGCCUAUCUAGGGAGACUGAAAGUAGACAAAUAGCUCAGACUCCACCUCCUGGAUCUGAAGGCAAUGCGUUGGAAUGUUCUGGGCUGGAGGGGAGGGGGGCACCAGGUUGAUGGUGGGAGUGGAAUCUGAAAAACAGAAUGGUUGACUUCUGUGCCCUUGGAGGUAUCCCAUGCCAGUUAUCCAAAGGGGCAGGGUCUCUGUGCUGAACUCAUUCUCUGAUGGCCCCUUGUGUGAGUUCAGUGUGGAGAGGAGACUGGAUGUGGGAGUGGGCAGGGCCCUGGGAACCUCCUAGGAAUCUCUAGGCCUUCUGGAGAAGUAGGCCGGAUUUGGCCUGCCAAUGCAGUAGCCUCAAACUAGGGCAGAAUCAGGGAAUCUGGGCCGAGGACCUGGCUGGUCCCUGGGGGUUAGCACCACGUGCUCUGGCAUCUUCCCUCCAACUGUCCCUGGGGGCAGAGUUGGGCAGGCCAGAGGUCCACCACUGCCAGUCUGUCCUGAGCCUCGCAGGAUACAGCCCUUUACUGGAGUCUGGCUAAAGAGCAAAGAGCUGGGGUUGCCCUGGUGGCAGGAUUCAGUCAACCUCUACACCACCCUCUGGCUUCUGCUCAGGACCUCAGACGUGUCUUUCAUUCAGAGCCUAGGAGAGAGGCCCAGAGCACGGGAGCUGUGGCAGAGUCUGUGCUGGUCAGGGUCCGACCCGCUGAGCAGAAUGUGGGUUGACCAGCUUGGAGAAACUGAGGGUGAGUUCCUACAUCUGAGGUCCAUGCUACCCAGCUGCCUCUCCUCUCCGGUCUCAGCAAGCCCUGUACCCACUUCUCCACCUUUGACACAGGGCUCUGUCCCCAACUCCUGCUACCACACCCUUCUCCCCAUGAUUCCCUGAGCUCAGAAGUUUUGGUGAGGGCAGUCAUGGAAGGGCCUAUGGCACCCUUACCUGUCACUCCCAGCCCCGUAUCCUUCCCUGUCUGAGGCUACCUGUCUCGUGCAGAGGUGUCGGUGACUUCUCAACCCCGACCCAGUACUAACUACUCGGUCAGAAGACCUGGGGUGGGGAGAGCACUCUGACGGACUUGAGUCCAAGAGCGGUUAGCAGAGGGGUCCCAAACCACCAGUGCAGGAGAAGCCCUGAGGCCAGCAUUGCGUUCAGUACAGAGAGGUACUCCAGCUUCAUGAGAGAUCAGAUAAAUGGGUGGAGGUGAGCUCCCUAGCACUGGGCAUGUCCAAGUGCUGGCUGGAGGUUGCACUGAGUUGGCUUUAGGGUCCCUUGUGGCUCCAUGAUGCAGGAACUGUGGGCUCCUGCCUUAGAGGAUCAAAUAAUGUCUUGAUUCUGUUUUGUUCUCUCCCAGGAGAGCUUCUACCUUCACAUGAACACCUGCAAAUCUUCCAGAAGCUAAAGGAUGAGUGAGAGUAACAGGUGGAGGUUGUGCAUGUGUGUGCAUGUGUGCACGGGUGUGAGUGUGCUCGUGUGCGGGUGUGAACCACCUCUACAAUUUUGAGAAAGACCUUCCCAGAUCCCUGAGUGCAUAUUCAUUGGAAGGCCAUGGUGCCAGACUCAGGCUAGGCUCAGCAGCUGCUUGUUCUGCCAGGACAGCCAGGGAAGUGACGCCACGUGCACAUGAGCUUUUGCUGCAGGAAGUGUGGGUCACUGGGGCCAUGGUUUGCGUGUGAUCGCUGACCAGCCAGUCACAGGUAGCCUGUGUGUGUUCUUAGGAGGGUAACAAUGCUGGAUCUUGAAUCCUUGCUGUGUCAAAUCUAGGGAGGACAUCUGAAAUGAUGGGCCUAGAAACAACAAGGAUUGGCCCGGGAGCAAGACAGUGGAGAUGGGAGGCAGAGUUAGCUAGGGGCCAAAGGAAGCUUUUCUACAGGCCCCUGUCAGGACUGGUGAGGGAGGAGGCUAGCACAGGGGGUUGUGCUGAGUAAGGGCUAUGUGUGUGCAUACCUGUGUUUACAUAUGUGUGUGCAUGUAUGUGGUUAUAUAUGAUUUGUAGUAUAGAUACACAUAUAUGGAUGUGCACGUGUAUGUGUAUAGGUGUGUGCUGUGGUUGUGCAUGGGUGUCCAUGGAUGUGUUCAUGUGUGGGCAUGUGUGACACCAGUGCCAUUGUGUGAAUAAAGAGGUGUGCAUAUGUGUGUAUGCCUAUCAUGUGUGCAUGUGUGGUUGAGUGCAUGAGUGUGCAUACAUGUAUGCAAAUGCAUGUAGUUAUAUGUGGUGGUGUGAGAGCAUGUGUAUACAUGCAUGUGGAUGUGUGGUGUGUACAUUUGUAGCUGUGUGAGUGUACAGUGUGCUUGUGUGCAGCACUCGGCUGAAGUUGCCUUACCUACCUGUUCUGCUGUCAUAGCAAGAGAUGCCUGCUGCCUACCACCAGGGCUGGGGGCAGAGGAGCCUUUAUUUCCCAGACCUUCCACGGUGAUUAAGUCUCCAAACUUUUCCUUAACCAUCAUAUCUUCAAAAUGAAAAACCAAAUUGCAUCUCCGAGAGCUUGGAAAUCGAUUUCUUUCAAAAUGAACUUUGGGCGAAACGAUUCCAAAGAGAAAUGAGAGAAGGAAGGCAUGUAAAAAGAGCUUUGUCUGGAUUCUCCACCUCACCCAAGGCUGCAUCUGAGAACCAGAACUCAUUGGCAUUACCCAGGAUAAUCAGACACGGUCCUAGAACCCCAAGACACCUACUGGGUAGUAUAUAAGGAGAGACCAAGAGCAACGCUCUGCCCAUCUGGAGAGAUGAGACCUUCCUUGAUCAGCCCUGGGGCUGGAGAGUCUCCCUCAGGAUCCUGGCCCUUGCAUCAAAGACUUCUGCUAGAGACUGGGCCUGGCCUUCAGCUAUGAUACAUCCCAGGAAUGUGUGUCUGUCCACUCACAAGCAGGUCCUGCCAUAGGCUAGUGACACCUCUGCAGAUCCAUUCCUUCAGUGGGAACAGACUGGAGACCAGGAACAGCACCAGACAGGGAUGCCAAGCUGCAAGGGAGAUCAGUUCGCCUAGCUGUCCCUUUGGGAGUCCACACACAGCCCAGAGUGCUGAGUGACAGGCUGAGUGAGUAGUCGCUGGUAAUACCCAGGGAUCUCUGAAGAGCAGGUCACCUCUUGGAGACAGCCAUCAAGGGGGCUGCCUUAGGAAGCUGCAGAUGAGGGAUGUGGUCAGAGCCACAUGCUGUGCUUUGGGAUCUGAACAGAGCCACCACUCUGCGCUUUGGGACAUGGACAGAGCCACCAUGCCAUGCUUUGGGAUGAUGACGGGGCCAUCACAUUGUGCUGCUGGAAGUCCCUUCCCCACAAAAGGAGCAGCAUAGGGACAGCAUCGUAACAGGAAUCGGAAGCCACUGGAUGAGGCUGAGGGACCUAAAUGCACAGGCUCGGGAGAGUUAAGAGACAAGCAGGGGACUGGCUGAGACCCUGGGAGAGAACAGCAGCCUUUCUGCAGGGGGCAGAAAGGCUGUUCCCUGAGGCCAUGGGACCUCAGGGAACAGUUGGUGGGAGCUGCCGUAGACUCGGUCAGAGCCUCAUCUGGGGCAAACACAUGGGAGAGUCCCAGCUUCCCUCAAGAGCCUGUUCCAGGGCCUCCUGCUUGUCUAUCCCACCAACCCCACAAGAAACCGGUCAACAUGGAGCCUGAAGAAACUGUGCUUCCUGGGGCCAGACAUCCUCGGCUUCUGGGUAGACCAGGCCUGCCAGUCUCAAGCUGCUGGAACAGCACCAGGGCUGUUCUCUGCUGUGUGCUACCCACUCCAUGGAUGGCCCCUGCAGCCUGAGGUCUGACCACCUACUCUCCAGGGGUCUCUCUGGCCUCCAGGUCCCAAAUGGGAGUUGAACUGGGGUUGCAGAUUACAUAGUCUCUUCCAGAGCUUGGCACUCAGCCCCAGCUGGGACAGGAGAGCAAGGAUGGGUGAGGCUGGACCUUCAGGAACCAUCUAAGCCCCAGAAGCCGAGAAAGCAGCAGGCAGGUCCCAAGAGCUGUUGUGGGUACAGAAUCUUGUAGCUGGAAUUGUGCAUACUAUGAGGAUGUGUCCACCAGGGCUGGGUAACUAGCCGGAGUAUCAACCUAAGCCCGUGACUUGAAACUUAAGGCUUUGAGAGAUUAAAAGAAAUAGUGUGUGUGUGUAAGAGAGAGAGACAGAGACAGAGACAGACAGAGAGAGAGAGAGAGAGAGAGGGAGAGAGAGAGAGAGAGGCUGUCCAUAGAGGUUAUGGGUGCUGGGAAUUGAACUCAGGUCCUCCGGGAGAGCAGUACUCACUCCUAACUGGUGGCCGUCUCUCUAGCCUCCAAGGGAUGUUUUUUUGUUUGUUUUUGUUUUGUUUGUUUGUUUUUUGAGAUUGAGGCCAGACCCAUAAGCACUGGAGAACUUGCAACAGGCCAUUCACAAUCUUUGUCAGAGACGAGGUGUCCUGGAGGCUCUUCGGUCGCAGUCAGCCACACCUUUUGGGAAGGCUUUCCGGGGUCCAUGAAGCGCCCCCAUGCUUACCUUGGAAUUUCCUUUCUAGAUCUCUGAGAUGCUUAAGGCAGGGAUUUGCCUGCCCUACCCUGUUCUGCCACUCUCAGGCUGCUGGCAGGCAGGCGCUGGGCACUGAUGAUGUUUCAGACAGAAGCAGCAAGGGAGAGCAGGAGGGAGGGGCCACAUCCAGAGGGAGGGGACACUAAGAUUAGAGAGGGAGAAGCCUAUGACUGUCCGAGGGCCCCUUGAUCAUUCUUGUGAUGUUGGGACUGAUUGUGUGUAUACUAGGGAGCCUGCUGAAUCAUGGACAGGGUUUUGAGGUCCUCUGGGGACUGUCUCUGCAGACCCCUGAAGGUAGACUGAGAAUCCCCUUUCAAGUCCUGCAGCCUGUGUCCCUGCCCCUGGCUCUGUACUACUCUGCUCCCAGUCAUGGAUCCUGUCACCCUUCAAGGAAGUGGCAGAUGCUGCACCCCAGGGUGGGAUACAGGAAGCAGGAAGAGGUGUGGUGGGGGGAUGAGAGACAAUGUGGUGAGGGGCUUAUGCACUGUAUCUGUCUCUUUCGCAGGACGCCUUUACCUGGCUCCUUCCUCCUAGCCUCCUGUUCCUGGUGUUAUUUUUAAAGUUUCACUUUGUAAA
This is a long non-coding RNA of Mus musculus (house mouse), 5194 nucleotides long. RefSeq annotates it as predicted gene, 36877. The transcript has 4 exons. Lineage: Eukaryota; Metazoa; Chordata; Mammalia; Rodentia; Muridae. The record is from RefSeq and is a predicted model, not a curated record.